This 256-nucleotide ribosomal RNA is filed under the name uncultured bacterium. RNAcentral's name for it is "partial 16S ribosomal RNA". It matches the Rfam family "Bacterial small subunit ribosomal RNA", at positions 100 to 354 of the family's 1533-position model. The record is from RNAcentral.
CGGGUAGAGUAACGCGUGGGAAUCUGCCUUUGAGCGGGGGACAACAUUUGGAAACGAAUGCUAAUACCGCAUAAAAACUUUAAACACAAGUUUUAAGUUUGAAAGAUGCAAUUGCAUCACUCAAAGAUGAUCCCGCGUUGUAUUAGCUAGUUGGUGAGGUAAAAGCUCACCAAGGCGAUGAUACAUAGCCGACCUGAGAGGGUGAUCGGCCACAUUGGGACUGAGACACGGCCCAAACUCCUACGGAAGGCAGCAG